Molecule: long non-coding RNA, 533 nt
Organism: Gavia stellata (red-throated loon)
Lineage: Eukaryota; Metazoa; Chordata; Aves; Gaviiformes; Gaviidae
Exons: 3
Source: RefSeq, a predicted model, not a curated record
AUCACUGUGACCACCAUUUCACCAGGCUGACACACUGCGAGGUUAGCAUCAUCUGAAAUCUCUGCUCCUGGAAAGAGGUACAGACUGGGACCUGCUCCAUAUCUUCUGAGGACAGAGAUGAUCUGUCCUUGGUUGCAUUUAAACUGAAGGCAAAGAGAGUGGAAACAAGAUGCAGCCCUGUCAAGUCUCAAGGAAUGCAUGAUAUUUGCCUGCUGCUGCAAACGAAGCCUUCCUUGGUGACAGAGGCAGAGACAACAGAAUUCUCUGUUUGAGAUGAAUAAUAGGUCGAAUACGGUAUGUGACGGCACUGUAGACUCCGAAGAUAGAACAUGAACAAAUAUAUUAUUCUGGAAAGCUGGCAUAAGAACGCUCUGAGGAUUUAGAAGCAUCUCAACUACCAGACAGGCAGCUGGGGUGAGAUCCAGGUCUUGUCUUCUGCUGGAAUAGCUCAGUCUUUCUAAAGUAUGAACGGCAUCCUCCCAGCCUCUGUUUUCUGGACGUAGUGGCCCUGCAGAUUCCUGAGCGGAGACAAC